This 274-nucleotide unclassified non-coding RNA is filed under the name Hevea brasiliensis (rubber tree). Lineage: Eukaryota; Viridiplantae; Streptophyta; Magnoliopsida; Malpighiales; Euphorbiaceae. The record is from RNAcentral.
GCCUCACAUAGUCACUCAACUGAAUUUAAUGAGUUCCAAUCAUAUAUCAAGUGGAAUUUCUAAUUGAAAAUGUCAUGGGUAGCAAUCAUGAUAUGCAAGUAUGUUCUCAAGAGUGAAGCUUUAUCCAAGUGCGCCUAGAGAUUUGGCUUAAAAGCAGCCUCAUAAACCAAUCACCAGUUCAAAUAGGCAAUUUCUUUGUUCUAAUAAAUGCAUGAAUUUGUAUCUCUUGCCAUAUCAUGUACAUGAUCCCAGGAGACUAACAGGUGCUGCAAAU